Molecule: ribosomal RNA, 301 nt
Filed under: uncultured bacterium
Lineage: Bacteria
Description: partial 16S ribosomal RNA
Rfam family: Bacterial small subunit ribosomal RNA
Source: RNAcentral
CAGUCGCCACGGUAAUACGAAGGGGGCUAGCGUUGUUCGGAAUUACUGGGCGUAAAGCGCGUGUAGGCGGGCGUUUAAGUCAGGGGUGAAAUGCCAAGGCUCAACCUUGGAACUGCCUUUGAUACUGAAUGUCUUGAGUCCGGGAGAGGUGAGUGGAACUGCGAGUGUAGAGGUGAAAUUCGUAGAUAUUCGCAAGAACACCAGUGGCGAAGGCGGCUCACUGGCCCGAUACUGACGCUGAGGCACGAAAGCGUGGGGGGCAAACAGGAUUAGAUACCCGCGUAGUCCCUGUCUCUUAUAA